This 57-nucleotide transfer RNA is filed under the name Salmo salar (Atlantic salmon). It matches the Rfam family "tRNA", at positions 9 to 63 of the family's 71-position model. Rfam says of the family: Transfer RNA (tRNA) molecules are approximately 80 nucleotides in length. Their secondary structure includes four short double-helical elements and three loops (D, anti-codon, and T loops). Further hydrogen bonds mediate the characteristic L-shaped molecular structure. tRNAs have two regions of fundamental functional importance: the anti-codon, which is responsible for specific mRNA codon recognition, and the 3' end, to which the tRNAs corresponding amino acid is attached (by aminoacyl-tRNA synthetases). tRNAs cope with the degeneracy of the genetic code in two manners: having more than one tRNA (with a specific anti-codon) for a particular amino acid; and 'wobble' base-pairing, i.e. permitting non-standard base-pairing at the 3rd anti-codon position. RNAcentral also lists the same sequence under 1 other name. Lineage: Eukaryota; Metazoa; Chordata; Actinopteri; Salmoniformes; Salmonidae. The record is from Rfam by way of RNAcentral.
AUCUCAGUUGGUAGAGCAUGGUGUUUGCAACGCCAGGGUUGUGGGUUCGAUUCCCAC